Non-coding RNA from Peromyscus leucopus (white-footed mouse), 569 nucleotides. The record is from the annotation of a RefSeq genome assembly. NCBI's taxonomy places the organism in Eukaryota, Metazoa, Chordata, Mammalia, Rodentia, Cricetidae.
GUGAAUAGAAAGGGCACUAGAGCAGUCGUUGCUAAGGGAACAUCUCUCAGUUAAUGGUCUCCAAGCCUUGUCCACAGGGAGCUCUUCAAUCCGUGUUCUUCACGUUCCUGCUCAGGGAGACUUCCCAGAAUACAUCUCACUGCCUAGCCAUGUUCCCAGUGACCACUCUGCUGCUUGGCCUGUUCUUCUCACUGAGAGGAAACAGAGCCCAGUCAGUGGCCCAGCCUGAUGCUCAUCUCACUGUCUCUGAAGGAGCCUCACUAGAGAUCAAAUGCAGCUAUUCUUAUGGUGCGACACCUUACCUCUUCUGGUAUGUCCAAUAUCCUGGCCAGAGCCUCCAGCUUCUCCUCAAAUACACCGCCAGAGACACCCUUAUUAAAGGCAUCAAUGGCUUUGAGGCUGAGUUUACGAAGAGUAACUCCUCCUUCAACCUGAGGAAAUCCCCAGCUCACUGGAGGGACUCAGCCAAGUACUUCUGCGCUCUGAGUGACACAGUGCCUCAGGCUGCAGGGGGAGCUGAGCACAAACCUCCUGAGACUCUCUGUGACUUGAGGGCACACAAUAAAUGA